This 513-nucleotide ribosomal RNA is filed under the name uncultured bacterium. Its description in RNAcentral is "bacterial SSU rRNA". It matches the Rfam family "Bacterial small subunit ribosomal RNA", at positions 26 to 518 of the family's 1533-position model. The record is from RNAcentral.
AGAACGAACGCUGGUAGCGUGGAUUAGGCAUGCAAGUCGAACGGGAUCAGCUGGUUAGCAAUAAUCGGCUGCGAGAGUGGCGGAUUGGGAGGAACACGUGAGCAACCUGCCUUUGAGUCGGGGAAAACCGUUGGAAACGACGGCUAAUACCGGAUGUGGCGCCCGGAGACAUCUUCGGAGCGCUAAAGGGGGCCGCAAGGCUCUCGCUCGUAGAGGGGCUCGCGCACCAUCAGCUUGUUGGCGGGGUAACGGCCCACCAAGGCCUACGGUUAGCUGGUCUGAGAGGAUGACCAGCCCCACUGGGACUAAGAUACUGCCCAGACUCCUACGGGAGGCUGCAGUCGAGGAUCAUUUGCAAUGGGCGAAAGCCUGACAAUGCGACGCUGCGUGGAAGGAUGAAGGCCUUCGGGUUGUAAACUCCUGUCAUGGGGGAACAGGCGAGGGGACCCAACACGUCCCUUAGUUGAGUGUACCCCAAGAGGAAGCGACGGCUAACUCUGUGCCAGCAGCAGC